CCCGCCUCCCCCCCCCCCCAGGAGGGAGCAGAAAGUUAGAGCUGCGGGCUGGUCCCCGGGGCGGGGAGGGCAACUGCACCCCUUUCCCGCGCCCCCGGCUGGGAUGGGGCCCGGAGCGAGGGGAAGGGGCUGCGGGGUUCCUGGUUUGGGGAGGAGGGGCUGGGAAAAGGGUGCGGGGAGCAGCCUCCUCGGAGAAAUGGACAGUGUAACCCACGCCCAGGCCCUGGAUAAGCCCUCCGGCUCGGACUUGGACGUUGGGGAGAAACCUUAAGAGAACCAGGCCCGGCCACCUCCUGCCCCAGGGAAGGAAAAGAAGGCUCCCGGGGUGAACCCUGCGGCCCGGACUCAGCUCCGUUAUUGACCUUCAGCAAGUUCUCAGCCCGGAGGAGAGUGUCUGUGUCAAGAAAGAAUUAUUUCAUGGCUGAGCACUCUAUGUGUAAACAUGGCACUAGAUAUUGCAUGCUAUUCCAAAAAAUAAAAAUAAAAAAAAGUUUAGGAGUCUUAAAUGCUCAAGAAAGCAAAGCAUGUGUGCAUUGAGUCUUAUGAAGAGUUCUCUGAGCCAUCCUCUGCCACUCUCUCUGGAAGAUGGCCCAGAAGCUCCUGAACUCACUUUGCCUUUGAGCACAGACAACCAGAGAGAACCAUCUGGGAGCUAACUUUCCUCCCAGUGCACCUUCCCAAGGACUGCCCUACAGAGCAUAAAAGCCCAGCCCCAUUGCCUCUAUUAGUAAGAAAACCUGAGAUGUCAUUUAUACCCCAAAGCUCCCCUGCAGGGUCAUGCUGAUGCGAGAGUUUUGCCUGAAAUCGCUUCCCUCAGUAUCUUGCUUACUCUGGUAACUUAGUAUUGAUCUUAGUUUUGAGAGGCAAUAUCUUGUCCAAAGUCUCUGCAACUCAAGAAUGUACUCAAACAAUAGUCAGUCACCUAGUCCUGUGCAAAAACAAUCUGAGGAAAGCACAACGUAAAAGGGAGAUGCCAUCUUGCCUCCAUGAUUCGACAAGCAUGAAGAUAAAAGCUUCACUGUGAGCAUGAUGGAGCCAAAUGACAGAAAGGGACCUAGACUCCCUCCCUUCACACUUCUUGUUAUGUGAGGUUAAUAAAAUGCUGUUAUUAUCCUCAGCAUGGGCUUCUACUUCAUGUAACUAAAUAUGUCAUAAGUCAUACAAUAUGAAUAAAAUUGGUAAAAGUAUUCAUUUUAAAGGCUUAAUCUGAGAGACUCAUGAUACCUAACACAAUCAAAUCUCCAAAAAAUGGUAGUUCUUUAAUUCAUUGUAAUUUUGAAUUGAUCUUGUACAGCCUCUCGUUACCAAACUAUUAAAUUCAUUUGAACAUU
Long non-coding RNA from Pipistrellus kuhlii (Kuhl's pipistrelle), 1331 nucleotides. RefSeq lists it as uncharacterized. The record is from RefSeq and is a predicted model, not a curated record. Lineage: Eukaryota; Metazoa; Chordata; Mammalia; Chiroptera; Vespertilionidae. The transcript has 5 exons.